CGCUUCAUACCCAUCUGUUUGUUUCUCUGGCCUGCACUUGAAGAACCCUAACAACCCUCAAAACGAAGUGAAAAUAGAGUGCUCGAACCCUCAUCGUCUUCUUCCACUGCCGAUUGUCUUGUAACCCGUUCGAAUCCAUCUUCUCCUUCGUCUUCACCACACGAUCCUGAGCAUGUGUUAAGCUGGUGACAGGAAGUGUUAAGAUGAGUAAUAGUGAUUACUUUUAGGCAAUACUUGAAACAACAAUGUCUCCAGCAUCCGUGUGUAAUGAUGCUUUGGGGAGUGUUUUACUCAGAAGUAGCAAAAUUUGUUAAGUUUGUGGACUACCAGAGCUGUAUACUUUACCCUUCUAUUCGUUAACGUGAUGAAGAAAGAAGACGUCACCUGAGGGCUAAAGUUCGGCGAUGCUUCAAAGAAAGACGAUGUAAUGAUUUGCGUGGGAAACAAAGUUUUGCCCAUUAAUGAAUCGACCACGACAUCUUCAUCCUCAAAUAACCCGAAUUCGAUUCACGUUUUUUAACCAAGUUUGUAUGACAUUGAUUUUUGAGUUAUUUGUUGUCUAAUGGGUAUCUGUUGUCUUUUCUUUUGGUGUAUUAGGCUUGAAGCUCUAAAUGAAAAGAGGUCUUGGGUGGUGCAGCUGGUUAACUUAGCUGAUAAAGAAAGAGAAAGUCUAGAGAGUGUUAAAAAUGAAGCAGAAGAUUAUAUGAAUAAGGAAGUUAAACUGGCAAUAAAAAGCUUUAAAAUUUGCUUCUGAAAGAAUGCGUCUGGCUUGGAAGCUUAGUUAACAUAUGAAAGGAGAAAGAUAAGGGAAACAAGAAAGAAUUGCAGGAAAGCAUAUGCAUACAAUCAGAUCCAAACUAAUUCCUGGGCGGAUUAAAAACAGAAAUUGGGUUAGAAUGGGUGAAAGUUCAUCCAGAUUAGCGAUAGACAAUUCUCCCGCCACCAACAACGUUUAUGUUGUGUUUGUCUAGGUUGUGCCUCAAUUUAUAAGCCCCCGGCCGCAACGCGGCGGGACUUACAUCUAGUU
This is a long non-coding RNA of Helianthus annuus (common sunflower), 1027 nucleotides long. RefSeq lists it as uncharacterized. The record is from RefSeq and is a predicted model, not a curated record. NCBI's taxonomy places the organism in Eukaryota, Viridiplantae, Streptophyta, Magnoliopsida, Asterales, Asteraceae. The transcript has 5 exons.